UGCAUCUCCAGGAUCCUCCCUGGUUGUUUUGCCUAGUUUCUAUUGGCUAGUUACAAAACACCCGGACACUCCUCCCCUGAGAAGGCUGGCUGCCAUUCGUAAAAAGCAGCACAUCAACUCCACCACUAGCCAGUAAAUGAUCCUUCCUGUUGUUCCAGCGCCAAGGAGACAUUCAGUCCUAACAGGCAGUCCACAGGUGGUUGAUUAAAAUGAAAACUGCACUUUUUGUCUGGUCCCACAUUACGAGCCGUCAUGCCGAUGUUUCCCACAUGGAUUAGAAGCUUCAGAUGACAAAGUCCUGCAAACCAACCUCAUUUCCUCCAUCGUUUUUUGUACCUUUAAUUAAAUUUCAUCUCACUUCUUGAG
Molecule: long non-coding RNA, 366 nt
Organism: Paramormyrops kingsleyae
Lineage: Eukaryota; Metazoa; Chordata; Actinopteri; Osteoglossiformes; Mormyridae
Source: RefSeq, a predicted model, not a curated record